Acanthosepion pharaonis is the source of this 112-nucleotide non-coding RNA. The record is from the annotation of a GenBank genome assembly. Lineage: Eukaryota; Metazoa; Mollusca; Cephalopoda; Sepiida; Sepiidae.
UGCAGCCACAUUAUGUUGAAACACUGGUUUUCAUACAAUCACCGAAGUUAAGCAAUGUCGAGCCUGGUCUGUACCUAGAUGAGUGACCGCUUGGAAAUACCAGAUUCUGUAA